This 363-nucleotide ribosomal RNA is filed under the name uncultured bacterium. Its description in RNAcentral is "bacterial SSU rRNA". It matches the Rfam family "Bacterial small subunit ribosomal RNA", at positions 28 to 409 of the family's 1533-position model. The record is from RNAcentral.
GAUGAACGCUGGCGGCGUGCCUAAUACAUGCAAGUCGAGCGAAUCACUUCGGUGGUGAGCGGCGAACGGGUGAGUAACACGUAGGUGAUCUGCCCAUCAGACGGGGACAACGAUUGGAAACGAUCGCUAAUACCGGAUAGGACGAAAGUUUAAAGGUGCUUCUGGCACCGCUGAUGGAUGAGCCUGCGGCGCAUUAGCUAGUUGGUAGGGUAAAGCCUACCAAGGCGACGAUGCGUAGCCGACCUGAGAGGGUGAACAGCCACACUGGGACUGAGACACGGCCCAGACUCCUACGGGAGCAGCAGGUAGGGAAUCUUCGGCAAGUGGGACGAAAGCCUGACCGAGCAACGCCGCGUGAAUGAU